This 500-nucleotide ribosomal RNA is filed under the name uncultured Glomeromycotina. Its description in RNAcentral is "partial small subunit ribosomal RNA". It matches the Rfam family "Eukaryotic small subunit ribosomal RNA", at positions 591 to 1092 of the family's 1831-position model. The record is from RNAcentral. Lineage: Eukaryota; Fungi; Glomeromycota.
CCAAUAGCGUAUAUUAAAGUUGUUGCAGUUAAAAAGCUCGUAGUUGAAUUUCGGGAUCAAUAUGUUGGUCGUGCCUUUGGUACGUACUAGUUUAUUGGUUUCUUCCUUCUGACGAACCAUGAUGUCAUUAAUUUGGUGUCAUGGGGAAUCAGGACUGUUACUUUGAAAAAAUUAGAGUGUUUAAAGCAGGCUUCACGCUUGAAUACAUUAGCAUGGAAUAAUGAAAUAGGACGUUUGAUUCUAUUUUGUUGGUUUUUAGGAUCGACGUAAUGAUUAAUAGGGAUAGUUGGGGGCAUUAGUAUUCAAUUGUCAGAGGUGAAAUUCUUGGAUUUAUUGAAGACUAACUACUGCGAAAGCAUUUGCCAAGGAUGUUUUCAUUAAUCAAGAACGAAAGUUAGGGGAUCGAAGACGAUCAGAUACCGUCGUAGUCUUAACCAUAAACUAUGCCGACUAGGGAUCGGAUGAUGUUAAUUUUUUAAUGACUCAUUCGGCGCCUUACG